UACGUAGGGUGCGAGCGUUGUCCGGAAUUAUUGGGCGUAAAGAGCUCGUAGGCGGUCUGUCGCGUCGGAUGUGAAAACUCGGGGCUCAACCCCGAGCCUGCAUUCGAUACGGGCAGACUAGAGUGCGGUAGGGGAGACUGGAAUUCCUGGUGUAGCGGUGAAAUGCGCAGAUAUCAGGAGGAACACCGGUGGCGAAGGCGGGUCUCUGGGCCGAUACUGACGCUGAGGAGCGAAAGCGUGGGGAGCGAACAGG
Molecule: ribosomal RNA, 253 nt
Filed under: uncultured bacterium
Lineage: Bacteria
Description: partial 16S ribosomal RNA
Rfam family: Bacterial small subunit ribosomal RNA
Source: RNAcentral